RNAcentral lists this long non-coding RNA (240 nucleotides) under Helianthus annuus (common sunflower). Its description in RNAcentral is "sRNA HanXRQr2_Chr04g0173501". Lineage: Eukaryota; Viridiplantae; Streptophyta; Magnoliopsida; Asterales; Asteraceae. The record is from RNAcentral.
UUCCGAAUCUUACCACUCCCUACACAUCACAUAACCCUACCAUCAAAUGCUCACUCACAAGCAAACUCGUCACUCUUGGAUAAUCGGAACGCAUAUGCAAUUUUGUUGAGGAUGACGAUGCUUUGAAACUGAAGUAGUGUUGAUGCUUAGAUACACAUUUAGACGUCUUAGGUCAAAUACGUUGUAUAAAUUUCAUACUUGUUGUUGUAUUGUUUUCUUGUAUUUAACAUGUGGUAUUUC